CGGAUGAGCUAGAACUGCGCUGUUUGCAUACGGGAGAUAGUCAGCUGACUCCCUCCUGCCCUUUAGAACGUGGAAAAACCCUGACGUUGAACAAGGCGGAGACUGAGGACUUCACAUAGCAGCUAAUCUACCUGGCUGGAUGCCACAGCUGUAAUUCAUCUAAACACCCACCCUGAAGAAGGCUAGGAGGCUGGCCAGCAUGACAGCAAAUUGCAUUUCUGCUCCAAGAGAUGUGGGAGGUGAUUGCCAAUGAGACCUGCUGUCUACAGACCUGGAGCAAUUCCUUCCGAGGCCUCCUCUCCGAAUGCUGAGCAGUUCCGUAAGGGACUGACGGUGAUUGCCAAAACCUCUCUGCCCUGAAGGCAGCAAGUGGAAACGUUUCCGUUUCUCCUCUGGAUCUGACCCGAAGUCCCGGGACCCGAUGCCAUUCUGAAGGUUUAUUAGCGAGUCCUUCAUCUGCAAGACAAGAAAUGUCUCCAAUGUGAUGCUACUCUAAAUCCAAGAGAUCUCUCUCCUUGACUUGCCUGGACUUAAGAGAGGAAAGAGAAGCUGUGGCAUCCUAUGAGCAGCCGUUGGGAUCUACCGCACGCACCUACCUCAGAAGAGGCCUCUAAAGGGAGAUGGGAACAGAGGUCAUCUACCUCACUGGCUGCAGUGGAACCAGGUAAGGCUGUGGGAUCACAGGCGGGCAGCUAGCCAGCUGAGAGGACAUGGUGCCCGUCCAGUCACAGUGUCAACUGGCCAGAGUGGCAUUCUCACCUG
Molecule: long non-coding RNA, 762 nt
Organism: Dromaius novaehollandiae (emu)
Lineage: Eukaryota; Metazoa; Chordata; Aves; Casuariiformes; Dromaiidae
Exons: 5
Source: RefSeq, a predicted model, not a curated record